This 328-nucleotide ribosomal RNA is filed under the name Salmonella enterica subsp. enterica serovar Typhimurium. RNAcentral describes it as "partial 23S ribosomal RNA". It matches the Rfam family "Bacterial large subunit ribosomal RNA", at positions 1609 to 1921 of the family's 2925-position model. The record is from RNAcentral. Lineage: Bacteria; Pseudomonadati; Pseudomonadota; Gammaproteobacteria; Enterobacterales; Enterobacteriaceae.
CAGGAAAAGCUCCUAAGCUUCAGCUUACGCAGACCGUACCGUAAACCGACACAGGUGGGUAGGAUGAGAAUUCUCAGGCGCUUGAGAGAACUCGGGUGAAGGAACUAGGCAACAUGGCACCGUAACUUCGGGAGAAGGUGCACCCUUUUUGGUGGCUCGUGCGAGCUAUAGCUGAAGAGGGUCGCAGUAACCAGGCCGCUGCGACUGUUUAUCAAAAACACAGCACUCUGCAAACACGAAAGUGGACGUAUAGGGUGUGACGCCUGCCCGGUGCUGGAAGGUUAAUUGAUGGGGUCAGCCGCAAGGCGAAGCUCUUGAUCGAAGCCCC